CCUACGGGUGGCAGCAGUGGGGUAUAUUGGACAAUGGGCGAAAGCCUGAUCCAGCCAUGCCGCGUGUGUGAAGAAGGCCUUCGGGUUGUAAAGCACUUUCAGUGGGGAAGAAAGCCUUGGGGCUAAUACCCUCGAGGAAGGACAUCACCCACAGAAGAAGCACCGGCUAACUCCGUGCCAGCAGCCGCGGUAAUACGGAGGGUGCGAGCGUUAAUCGGAAUUACUGGGCGUAAAGCGCGCGUAGGCGGUCUGAUAAGCCGGUUGUGAAAGCCCCGGGCUCAACCUGGGAACGGCAUCCGGAACUGUCAGGCUAGAGUGCAGGAGAGGAAGGUAGAAUUCCCGGUGUAGCGGUGAAAUGCGUAGAGAUCGGGAGGAAUACCAGUGGCGAAGGCGGCCUUCUGGACUGACACUGACGCUGAGGUGCGAAAGCGUGGGUAGCAAACAGGAUUAGAUACCCUAGUAGUC
Molecule: ribosomal RNA, 465 nt
Filed under: Vreelandella stevensii
Lineage: Bacteria; Pseudomonadati; Pseudomonadota; Gammaproteobacteria; Oceanospirillales; Halomonadaceae
Description: partial 16S ribosomal RNA
Rfam family: Bacterial small subunit ribosomal RNA
Source: RNAcentral